This 484-nucleotide ribosomal RNA is filed under the name uncultured bacterium. Its description in RNAcentral is "partial 16S ribosomal RNA". It matches the Rfam family "Bacterial small subunit ribosomal RNA", at positions 30 to 507 of the family's 1533-position model. The record is from RNAcentral.
AUUGAACGCUGGCGGCAGGCCUAACACAUGCAAGUCGAGCGGAUGAAGGGAGCUUGCUCCUGGAUUCAGCGGCGGACGGGUGAGUAAUGCCUAGGAGUCUGCCUGGUAGUGGGGGAUAACGUCCGGAAACGGGCGCUAAUACCGCAUACGUCCUGAGGGAGAAAGUGGGGGAUCUUCGGACCUCACGCUAUCAGAUGAGCCUAGGUCGGAUUAGCUAGUUGGUGGGGUAAAGGCCUACCAAGGCGACGAUCCGUAACUGGUCUGAGAGGAUGAUCAGUCACACUGGAACUGAGACACGGUCCAGACUCCUACGGGAGGCAGCAGUGGGGAAUAUUGGACAAUGGGCGAAAGCCUGAUCCAGCCAUGCCGCGUGUGUGAAGAAGGUCUUCGGAUUGUAAAGCACUUUAAGUUGGGAGGAAGGGCAGUAAGUUAAUACCUUGCUGCUUUGACGUUACCAACAGAAUAAGCACCGGCUAACUUCGUG